AAUGAACGCUGGCGGCGUGCCUAAUACAUGCAAGUCGAACGAACAGACGAGGAGCUUGCGCCCCUGCCGUUAGCGGCGGACGGGUGAGUAACACGUGGAUAACCUACUUAUAAGACUGGGAUAACUUCGGGAAACCGCAGACACUACUAGAGAAUAUAUUGAACCGCAGGGUUCAAUAGUGAAAGACGGUUUUGCUGUCACUAAUAGCUGGAUCCGCGUCGGAUUAGCUAGUUGGUAAGGUAACGGCUUACCAAGGCAACGAUGCGUAGCCGACCUGAGAGGGUGAUCGGCCACACUGGAACUGAGACACGGUCCAGACUCCUACGGGAGGCAGCAGUAGGGAAUCUUGCGCAAUGGGCGAAAGCUUGACGGAGCAACGCCGCGUGAGUGAAGAAGGUCUUCGGAUCGUAAAGCUCUGUUGUUAGGGAAGAACAGAUGUGGAAGUAACCAUGCACGUCUUGACGGUACCUAAACAGAAAGCAACGGCUAACUACGUG
This 497-nucleotide ribosomal RNA is filed under the name uncultured bacterium. RNAcentral's name for it is "partial 16S ribosomal RNA". It matches the Rfam family "Bacterial small subunit ribosomal RNA", at positions 29 to 507 of the family's 1533-position model. The record is from RNAcentral.